GGCAGCAUAGCAUAGUGGUUAAGGAGCCAGACUUGUAACUAAAAGGUUGCUAGUUCAAUUCCUGCUGGUGCAC
Non-coding RNA from Megalops atlanticus (tarpon), 73 nucleotides. NCBI's taxonomy places the organism in Eukaryota, Metazoa, Chordata, Actinopteri, Elopiformes, Megalopidae. The record is from the annotation of a GenBank genome assembly.